UACGGGGGGGGCAAGCGUUGUUCGGAAUUACUGGGCGUAAAGGGCUCGUAGGCGGCCAACUAAGUCCGACGUGAAAUCCCCAGGCUUAACCUGGGAACUGCGUCGGAUACUGGAUGGCUUGAAUUCGGGAGAGGGAUGCAGAAUUCCAGGUGUAGCGGUGAAAUGCGUAGAUAUCUGGAGGAAUACCGGUGACGAAGGCGAGUCCCUAGACGACUCCUGACACUGAGGCACGAAAGCUAGGGGAGCAAACAGG
This 253-nucleotide ribosomal RNA is filed under the name uncultured bacterium. Its description in RNAcentral is "partial 16S ribosomal RNA". It matches the Rfam family "Bacterial small subunit ribosomal RNA", at positions 524 to 776 of the family's 1533-position model. The record is from RNAcentral.